RNAcentral lists this ribosomal RNA (460 nucleotides) under uncultured bacterium. RNAcentral describes it as "partial 16S ribosomal RNA". It matches the Rfam family "Bacterial small subunit ribosomal RNA", at positions 338 to 795 of the family's 1533-position model. The record is from RNAcentral.
CCUACGGGGUGCAGCAGUGAGGAAUAUUGGUCAAUGGUCGGGAGACUGAACCAGCCAAGCCGCGUGAGGGAUGAAGGUACAGAGUAUCGUAAACCUCUUUUGUCAGGGAACAAAGGCGGGGACGUGUCCCCGGAUGAGUGUACCUGAAGAAAAAGCAUCGGCUAACUCCGUGCCAGCAGCCGCGGUAAUACGGAGGAUGCAAGCGUUAUCCGGAUUUAUUGGGUUUAAAGGGUGCGCAGGGGGGUUGUUAAGUCAGCUGGUAAAAGCCGGGGCUCAACCCCGGGCCGGCCGGUGAAACUGGCAGUCGCGAGGUGGAGAGAAGUAUGCGGAAUGCGCGGUGUAGCGGUGAAAUGCAUAGAUAUCGCGAAGAACUCCGAUUGCGAAGGCAGCAUGCCGGCUCCACACUGACGCUGAGGCACGAAAGCGUGGGGAGCAAACAGGAUUAGAUACCCUGGUAGUC